GGAAACGGGCGAGCUGAAAUGCGCUCAGGCAGAGGUGGCCGUGAGUGCAAGGCUCGGCUGCACGCGAGAAUUCGCAGUGAAAGGGUCUGCAGGAAAGCAGGGCUUCUCGUAUGAUGGAAGCAGAAAUUCACCUUCAGAGUUCGUCCCUAAGGGAAACGCGACGGGACUCUAGCAGUUGGAUUUCAGCAAGCUGCUGCUGCUGCACACUCGCGUUUCCCGUUGGAUUUGGUGAGGUCCAAGAGGGUCCAAAGCUCUGUGCUUAAAAAAGCACUUAAGGUUUAUACUAAAGUGGAACUUUGGUCAUCAAUCUGGAGGACUCUGGAAAACGAUGUGAGGUGUUGAGCUGUAGUCUUGCAUCAUAGAAGUGAUCUACUGGGCUGGAAAGCUGGAAAGCAUUAUUUCCUUCUAGCAAUCCACGGGAGCAUAUGAGGAAGGGGAGCCAAUUUUUACACGAAGGGAAACUACUACCAGAGAAGCAGAAAUGCAGAGCAGCCCUGCUACUACUGUGGAUGACCUGAAGUUCUAGGCUGGACCUACAGCUAGAAAUGCUUGCCUUGCUACUUGAUGAGAUACAACACUUCUUCUUCAAGAUUUAAGAUACUGUUCUUCUGGAGGAAAACACUGUAAGCAAUCCGAGAUGCACUUUUUGUUUGAAUCUCCUUUUUCCAAAAAGGUACUGCUGUGGUGUGCUUGGAAUAUUUGGACUUUCCUGUAAGAAUCUAUCUGCCAGUAACACAGGCUGAAAAACGAGGCGAAAAAAACACUUAAUUGCUAUCAAAUUAAUACUUCAUCUUUGUAUCUUAGUGUCAUUUUCUCUUACUGUGUAUUUUGGUAUGCAACAACAGUAAAUAAAGUGUGCUUUUCUCUUAGAUUUGGUUGCUGUUUUUGUUUGGUUGUUUGUUUGUUUUUGUUGGUGCAGGUAGACUUUCAUCCUUUUGCUCUGGAUGGAAUGGAACUGGCCUACCUGCCUGCUUGUAAGACUGGCCUCCAUGUUCCUGUGCUGGAAGAGGACAGAGGAGCUCUGGGAAAGGGCACUGCGCUGUUUUGAACUGGUGUGCUCACACACCGUGGAGCUGCUUCCAUGCCCUCAUAUCACACUGGAGCCUUGGUUAUUUUCUGCGGAUUCUCCUCUGCAGUCUGGUUUGAAGCUUGUGAGCUGAAACCAGUUCCACAGCUUCCCUGGCCAGAAGACAUGCCCCUGUGAGCUGUGAAGUAAACUGAUUGCAGUUGCUCUCACUCUGCAAGAGGAACUAAUGUGGGAGAGAAGCUGCACUCUUCCCGAUUCAGUGCUUAGUUUCAAAAGUGCUCCAUUGACAGCAAGCCAGAUUUCAGCUUCCGAAGCCUCUUCCUCGAUCACCCAUGCAGAACCAAAGGGCUUGUACACACAAAAGGCCUCAGGACUUCAGAACUUGUUCUAAAUCUUCCUUCUCUGUGAUAUUGAAGAAUCAAUACAUUCAUAUUCUAUUUGGAAAAUGGAUUAAAGUCAUCUAUGUAACUUGGUUAAAAGCCCUGGAUUUUCCUAGGACAGCAAAAUACUUUCAACCAACUGAGCAUAUAGAAGUCAAGAAGAUCAAAAGAGUACUACCUUGGUCAUGAGAGGAAGUUUAUGAAGGUGAGCAGUUUUCUUGAAGCUGAACCCUUUCGAAGAUUACUCCUUACUGCAAAUACACAGAAACCUUCGAAGUAUACAAAACCAGCAUGAGAGUCUUAAAAUAAAUAAAUAAAUAAAUAAAAUUAAAAAAA
This is a long non-coding RNA of Lagopus leucura (white-tailed ptarmigan), 1743 nucleotides long. RefSeq lists it as uncharacterized. The transcript is spliced from 7 exons. Lineage: Eukaryota; Metazoa; Chordata; Aves; Galliformes; Phasianidae. The record is from RefSeq and is a predicted model, not a curated record.